CCCUUAGAUGUUCUGGGCCGCACGCGCGCUACACUGAUACGUUCAACAAGUUCCUUGGCCGAAAGGUCUGGGUAAUCUUUGAAACCGUAUCGUGAUGGGGAUAGAACAUUGCAAUUAUUGUUCUUCAACGAGGAAUGCCUAGUAAGCGCGAGUCAUCAACUCGCGUUGAUUACGUCCCUGCCCUUUGUACACACCGCCCGUCGCUCCUACCGAUUGAAUGGUCCGGUGAAGCGCUCGGACCGCGGCCUCUUGACGGUUCGCUGUCGAUUGGCUGUGGGAAGUUCGUUAAACCUUAUCAUUUAGAGGAAGGAGAAGUCGUAACA
Molecule: ribosomal RNA, 323 nt
Filed under: uncultured eukaryote
Lineage: Eukaryota
Description: partial 18S ribosomal RNA
Rfam family: Eukaryotic small subunit ribosomal RNA
Source: RNAcentral